AGUGUUAGAUGUUGUUUUUAGAGGUGGUGGUGGAAUCCUUAAAGACAUGGAUUACGUCUGUUUCUUCCUGUGGCUUCCAGGCACCUGAAUCCUGGAACUGCUUUAUUAUGACGACUUUAGUCCUUGACGUUGCCUGGAUUGGAGGGUUUCACAUAAUUCAGGCCGGCCUUGAACUAGGAACAGCAAACGAUGACCUUGAGCGUCUGAGCCUCGUCUCUACCACCUGAUUGCUACAAUUAUAG
This 242-nucleotide long non-coding RNA is filed under the name Rattus norvegicus (Norway rat). Its description in RNAcentral is "long non-coding RNA NONRATT012366". Lineage: Eukaryota; Metazoa; Chordata; Mammalia; Rodentia; Muridae. The record is from RNAcentral.